GAUGAAGAACGUAGCGAAAUGCGAUACGUAGUGUGAAUUGCAGAAUUCAGUGAAUCAUCGAAUCUUUGAACGCACAUUGCACCUCCCGGUAUUCCGGGAGGUAUGCCUGUUCGAGCGUCAUUUGUACCCUCAAGCUCUGCUUGGUGUUGGGUGUUUGUUCCGCCUCUGUGUGUGAACUCGCCUCAAAACAAUUGGCAGCCGGCGUACUUGUUUCGGAGCGCAGCACAUUUUGCGAUCCAGAUCAACGUACAGCGGCAUCCAAGAAGCCUUAUUUAACGCUCUUGACCUCGGAUCAGGUAGGGAUACCCGCUGAACUUAAGCAUAUCAAUAAGCGGAGGA
RNAcentral lists this unclassified non-coding RNA (339 nucleotides) under soil metagenome. Its description in RNAcentral is "partial contains 5.8S ribosomal RNA, internal transcribed spacer 2, and large subunit ribosomal RNA". The stretch from base 1 to 120 matches the Rfam family "5.8S ribosomal RNA", at positions 35 to 154 of the family's 154-position model. The record is from RNAcentral.